Molecule: ribosomal RNA, 440 nt
Filed under: uncultured bacterium
Lineage: Bacteria
Description: partial 16S ribosomal RNA
Rfam family: Bacterial small subunit ribosomal RNA
Source: RNAcentral
CCUACGGGAGACAGCAGUGGGGAAUAUUGGACAAUGGGGGGAACCCUGAUCCAGCGACGCCGCGUGAGUGAAGAAGUAUUUCGGUAUGUAAAGCUCUAUCAGCAGGGAAGAAAAUGACGGUACCUGACUAAGACGCCCCGGCUAACUACGUGCCAGCCGCCGCGGUCAUACGGAGGGGGCAAGCGUUAUCCGGAUUUACUGGGUGUAAGGGGAGCGUAGACGGUGCAGCAAGUCUGAUGUGAAAGGUCGGGGCCCAACCCCGGGACUGCCUUGGAAACUGUUGAACUGGAGUACAGGAGAGGUAAGCGGAAUUCCUAGUGUAGCGGUGAAAUGCGUAGAUAUUAGGAGGAACACCAGUGGCGAAGGCGGCUUACUGGACUGUAACUGACGUUGAGGCUCGAAAGCGUGGGGAGCAAACAGGAUUAGAUACCCGUGUAGUC